GUAAAUUAAGGCUAAACAAUAACAUUGCAAAUGUUAAAAAUAAAAGCCUUCGAGACUUAAAUUUAAAAUAU
This 71-nucleotide transfer RNA is filed under the name Fragariocoptes setiger. Its description in RNAcentral is "tRNA-Cys". Lineage: Eukaryota; Metazoa; Arthropoda; Arachnida; Trombidiformes; Phytoptidae. The record is from RNAcentral.